This is a long non-coding RNA of Centruroides sculpturatus (bark scorpion), 600 nucleotides long. RefSeq lists it as uncharacterized. Lineage: Eukaryota; Metazoa; Arthropoda; Arachnida; Scorpiones; Buthidae. The transcript has 4 exons. The record is from RefSeq and is a predicted model, not a curated record.
UUCACGUGUUAAACGUUCUGCUAAUUUUCCUGAUUUGCCUACAACAGCAUUCUAUGAUAGUGAAACUUUCACAUCUAAUUAUUCUGUAAUAGACAAAGAAGGUUCUAUAAAUGAUACAGCAAGAAUUCCUAUUAAAUAUAAUUACACUGUUCAAGGAAAAACAACACUUACAAUUAGACAUCUUCGUCACUUUACGGAAUACAUCAUUAAAGUUAAAGCCUGCCACGGUAAUGAGCAUAAUUCUACAUGUAGUGUUAAUGGAAUCACCACUGUUCGUACUUUAAGCCAUGAAACUGCCGAUAAUAUAGACCCGAGUACUGUUCAAAUCAAUGCAGAAAAUGCAAGCUCCGGAAUAAUAUAUUUGAAGUGGGACGAGCCGGAAAAUCCAAAUGGUUUAAUUGUUUAUUAUCAUAUUGAGUACAAAAUAUUGGAUAAUAAAAAUAUCGUUCCAAUAUGUAUAACACAAUUGCAAUAUCAACAAUAUAAAGGCUAUCAGCUGUUUAAUUUGGAUUCGGGUAACUAUUCUUUGAGAUUAAGAGCCACUUCUCUAGCUGGAAAUGGCAACUGGACUUCUCCAUUUUUCUUCCACAUUCCAGAAAG